Molecule: ribosomal RNA, 1049 nt
Filed under: Aspergillus flavipes
Lineage: Eukaryota; Fungi; Ascomycota; Eurotiomycetes; Eurotiales; Aspergillaceae
Description: SSU rRNA
Rfam family: Eukaryotic small subunit ribosomal RNA
Source: RNAcentral
UAGUCAUAUGCUUGUCUCAAAGAUUAAGCCAUGCAUGUCUAAGUAUAAGCACUUUAUACCGUGAAACUGCGAAUGGCUCAUUAAAUCAGUUAUCGUUUAUUUGAUAGUACCUUACUACAUGGAUACCUGUGGUAAUUCUAGAGCUAAUACAUGCUAAAAACCCCGACUUCGGAAGGGGUGUAUUUAUUAGAUAAAAAACCAAUGCCCCUCGGGGCUCCUUGGUGAUUCAUAAUAACUUAACGAAUCGCAUGGCCUUGCGCCGGCGAUGGUUCAUUCAAAUUUCUGCCCUAUCAACUUUCGAUGGUAGGAUAGUGGCCUACCAUGGUGGCAACGGGUAACGGGGAAUUAGGGUUCGAUUCCGGAGAGGGAGCCUGAGAAACGGCUACCACAUCCAAGGAAGGCAGCAGGCGCGCAAAUUACCCAAUCCCGACACGGGGAGGUAGUGACAAUAAAUACUGAUACGGGGCUCUUUUGGGUCUCGUAAUUGGAAUGAGUACAAUUUAAAUCCCUUAACGAGGAACAAUUGGAGGGCAAGUCUGGUGCCAGCAGCCGCGGUAAUUCCAGCUCCAAUAGCGUAUAUUAAAGUUGUUGCAGUUAAAAAGCUCGUAGUUGAACCUUGGGUCUGGCUGGCCGGUCCGCCUCACCGCGAGUACUGGUCCGGCUGGACCUUUCCUUCUGGGGAAUCCCAUGGCCUUCACUGGCUGUGGGGGGAACCAGGACUUUUACUGUGAAAAAAUUAGAGUGUUCAAAGCAGGCCUUUGCUCGAAUACAUUAGCAUGGAAUAAUAGAAUAGGACGUGCGGUUCUAUUUUGUUGGUUUCUAGGACCGCCGUAAUGAUUAAUAGGGAUAGUCGGGGGCGUCAGUAUUCAGCUGUCAGAGGUGAAAUUCUUGGAUUUGCUGAAGACUAACUACUGCGAAAGCAUUCGCCAAGGAUGUUUUCAUUAAUCAGGGAACGAAAGUUAGGGGAUCGAAGACGAUCAGAUACCGUCGUAGUCUUAACCAUAAACUAUGCCGACUAGGGAUCGGGCGGUGUUUUUAUGAUGACCCGC